GGGGAUAACGUCCCGAAAGGGACGCUAAUACCGCAUAACAUCCUGCCUUUCAAGAGGUGGAGAUUCAAGCAUGAGCAAGCUAGCACUCGAAGAGGGGCCCGCGUCCGAUUAGCUAGUUGGUGAGGUAACGGCUCACCAAGGCAACGAUCGGUAGCCGGCCUGAGAGGGCGGACGGCCACACUGGGACUGAGACACGGCCCAGACUCCUACGGGAGGCAGCAGUGGGGAAUUGUUCGCAAUGGGCGCAAGCCUGACGACGCAACGCCGCGUGGAGGAUGA
RNAcentral lists this ribosomal RNA (279 nucleotides) under uncultured Acidobacteriota bacterium. RNAcentral's name for it is "uncultured Acidobacteria bacterium partial 16S ribosomal RNA". It matches the Rfam family "Bacterial small subunit ribosomal RNA", at positions 139 to 411 of the family's 1533-position model. Lineage: Bacteria; Pseudomonadati; Acidobacteriota. The record is from RNAcentral.